AGCAGCCGCGGUAAUUCCAGCUCCAAUAGCGUAUAUUAAAGUUGUUGCAGCUAAAAAGCUCGUAGUUGAAUUUCGGGAUUGACACAUCGGUCGUGCCUUAAGGGGUAUGAACUGGUGUAGUCAAUUUCUCACCUUCUGGAGAACCGCGAUGCCCUUAAUUGGGUGUCACGGGGAACCGGGACCUUUACUUUGAAAAAAUUAGAGUGUUUAAAGCAGGCAUUUUGCUUGAAUACAUUAGCAUGGAAUAAUAAAAUAGGACGGCAUGAUUCUAUUUUGUUGGUUUCUAGGAUCACCGUAAUGAUUAAUAGGGAUAGUUGGGGGCGAUUAGUAUUCAAUUGUCAGAGGUGAAAUUCUUGGAUUUAUUGAAGACUAACUACUGCGAAAGCAUUUGCCAAGGAUGUUUUCAUUAAUCAAGAACGAAAGUUAGGGGAUCGAAGACGAUCAGAUACCGUCGUAGUCUUAACCAUAAACUAUGCCGACUAGGAAUCAGACGAUGUUAAUUUUUUAAUGACUCGUUUGG
This 520-nucleotide ribosomal RNA is filed under the name uncultured Entrophospora. RNAcentral describes it as "SSU rRNA". It matches the Rfam family "Eukaryotic small subunit ribosomal RNA", at positions 569 to 1083 of the family's 1831-position model. The record is from RNAcentral. Lineage: Eukaryota; Fungi; Glomeromycota; Glomeromycetes; Entrophosporales; Entrophosporaceae.